Molecule: long non-coding RNA, 1111 nt
Organism: Parus major (Great Tit)
Lineage: Eukaryota; Metazoa; Chordata; Aves; Passeriformes; Paridae
Exons: 2
Source: RefSeq, a predicted model, not a curated record
UCCCUUCCAAGUGAAAAAAGACAAGCAUGAGGUUGGAUUCAUUUUGGAAUAACAUUUUUUUUUAAACACAAAAAUAUCCCUCUAAGCUACGCCCAGACUUAAACUCAGCCCAAAAGAGAUUUUUGAAGUAUUUUAGUGAUGCCAUGGAGCAGUCCCUGCCCUGCUCCCAGCUUUGGCUCCAGCCCUGGGGUCUGGAUCCUCACUGCAGGAUGAGGAACAGAUGGAAAAAGUCCUGGCAUGAGCCAAGGACAGGGAAUCACACCAGCACCACCUUGGGAUGUUCACAAUUCCAGCAGAUCCCAAACCCCAGAAAGGUUUGGUUACCAGACACAAAAAGCUCCUUAGUACCAAGGACAGGGAAAUCAGAUACAAAGUGGGGAAUGACAGCCUCAGGAACAGAAAGGUUCCAAAUUCCCAAUUUUAGGGAGUAAUUAAUAAAAAGAAUGAACGCUGCCAAGCCUCAAAAGAAACACCCCAAUAUGAUCUGGGGUAAGGUAAAAACCAAUGGAAAGGGAACAGAAAAUCCAUUUGGAAAACAAAGUUUCCAAGGAAUUAAACCUUGAUGGUUCCAGAAACUCAAACCAGAAUUCAAGAGGAGCUCACCCUGACAAACAAAGCUGUACUGAACAAGGAAGUUAUGUAAAGCUGCAGAUUCCCUCUGGAGAGAACACCUGGCACAAUAAACUGAAGAGAAUUAAAUCCAGAGCGUGCAGUUGGCAGGGAAAACACAACUCCUGCACCUGGGCAGGGUUUCAGGGAUGGAUCCCAGCACCUUUGGGUGAGUGACUGUUGCUUCCCUGGGACAGCUGCUCACACAGGGGCUCCAACCCAGGCACUAUUUCCAGUUCAGUAUCAAACUCUCUCCUUAUGAGGCAGCUGGAGCCGAUUAUGACACUAUUUUGGAAGCUAAUCUUAUCUGAGGUAAUCAGCUUCAUUUCCUUCACUAGAUGCAAAACAGACUGAUGAGGACAGUGCUGAGAAAAUGAGUCUCAAUUUCCAGCUCAUCUUUCACUCACACUCCCUGCCUCUACCUCCUACAAUCCUUUUUUCCCUACACCAGUGGCUACAACAAGAAGGAAUAAAUUAAUAAAUAAGCAAUUUUUAUUUCAAA